AUGGCAGCUUUAAGUCUCUGGGUGAGCCGUGGAGAGAACGUGGAGCAGCGUCCUUCUACUCUGCGUGUCCUGGAGGGAGACAGCUCUGUCAUCAACUGUUCUUAUUCUGACAGUGCCUCAGACUACUUCCCCUGGUAUAAGCAAGAACCUGGAAAAGGUCCCCAGUUCAUUAUAGAUAUUCGUGCAAGUAAGGUCAAAAAUAGCAAACAAAGACUCACUGUUUUUUUAGAUAAGGCAAAGAAACAGUUCUCCCUGCACAUCGCGGCCACCCAACCUGGAGACACAGCCGUUUACUUCUGCGCAGCAACGGCACAGUGCUUCCCGGGCACCUGCUGCCUGCACCCAAAUCCAAGGCUGCAGCUGAAGCCCCGCCCCUUCUCUCUGAACAGGUCUUUAAACGCACCAUUUGUCAUAGUGUUUUUUUGCAAGUGGAAGCUGACAUAUAGGUAAUUAAAGCAUAUAUUAAAAAGGUUAGAGUCAAGAUGAUCAGAAAGGGUUUUUUCCUUUUGUUUUCUGAUUGUUGCUUAGUAGAUUAUUAUUUUUUAUUGUGUAUACUUAGGGUGAACAGUAUGAUGUUUUGAUACACAUGUACAAAUU
This is a non-coding RNA of Tupaia belangeri chinensis (Chinese tree shrew), 597 nucleotides long. NCBI's taxonomy places the organism in Eukaryota, Metazoa, Chordata, Mammalia, Scandentia, Tupaiidae. The record is from the annotation of a RefSeq genome assembly.